Molecule: transfer RNA, 101 nt
Filed under: Caudoviricetes sp.
Lineage: Duplodnaviria; Heunggongvirae; Uroviricota; Caudoviricetes
Description: tRNA-OTHER
Rfam family: tRNA
About the family: Transfer RNA (tRNA) molecules are approximately 80 nucleotides in length. Their secondary structure includes four short double-helical elements and three loops (D, anti-codon, and T loops).
Source: RNAcentral
GGAUAAAUAGUUUAAUUGGAAAAACAUUCAAGGUAAAACCGCAGACACCGUAGUGAAAGCCUACGACGAAAUAGAUAUGAGUUCGAGACUCAUUUUAUCCA